Molecule: long non-coding RNA, 663 nt
Filed under: Phoenix dactylifera (date palm)
Lineage: Eukaryota; Viridiplantae; Streptophyta; Magnoliopsida; Arecales; Arecaceae
Description: long non-coding RNA (PDAC_LNC011783)
Source: RNAcentral
AUGAAUCGUCCAAGAAAUUAAUAAGAUGAUGAUACAUAUUCUCAAGAGUUGAGAAUUUGAGCCAUGUAUCAUUGGUGAUUAAUUUCUAAAUGCUCCUGAUCAAUGGAUCAUCACGAGGACGGUGAUCGAUCCGAUCAGUACACAGAUCACUUUCCUUCUGGAUGGACGAGACUUGAGUCCACAGUGUAGGGACACUGGAGUGAUAGUGCAGGUGCUUGUUAGAGAACAAGGGUACUGAGCGUGACCAAGACAAGAAGUCACUUGGAUGUCUAUCCACUCGUCAGUGACUUGCUUGAUAUUGCAGUAGUGUGACUGGUCCUUUGACCUGCGGUGCUUCGGCUACUCACAGUGAGGUUAUUGUAGUUUGACUGCACACACACAUGGUCUCUAGCCAUAUGGGUCCAUGCAGUGUAGAUUGGCUGCAGUAAGUUCACUGUAGGAGUAGGGUAUGCACCUAUAUGGAAUCUAUCGACCUUGAUAGAUAAGGAGAGAUCCUAUGUGAUUUAUAAGACUGAGUUCGUAAGACCUCGGCCGGGGCAGUAUGCACAGUGGAGAAAGAGUUUUCCACUCUCGAACUUAAGUCGAAUAAAUCUUCACAUAUGACAGACGAUGGGGUUUGAUGAGUUGUCCAUGACCUCCGUCCUGUAGGGAUCCACGAUAGUA